CCUACGGGAGGCAGCAGUGGGGAAUUUUGGACAAUGGGCGAAAGCCUGAUCCAGCAAUGCCGCGUGUGUGAUGAAGGCCUUCGGGUUGUAAAGCACUUUUGGCGGGAACGAAAAGGACUGUGCCAAUACCACGGUUCGAUGACGGUACCCGCAGAAUAAGCACCGGCUAACUACGUGCCAGCAGCCGCGGUAAUACGUAGGGUGCAAGCGUUAAUCGGAAUUACUGGGCGUAAAGAGUGCGCAGGCGGUUUUGCAAGACCGAUGUGAAAUCCCCGGGCUUAACCUGGGAACUGCAUUGGUGACUGCAAGGCUAGAGUGUGUCAGAGGGAGGUGGAAUUCCGCAUGUAGCAGUGAAAUGCGUAGAUAUGCGGAGGAACACCGAUGGCGAAGGCAGCCUCCUGGGAUAACACUGACGCUCAUGCACGAAAGCGUGGGGAGCAAACAGGAUUAGAUACCCUGGUAGUCCACGCCCUAAACGAUGUCUACUAGUUGUCGGGGAUUAAUUUCCUUGGUAACGCAGCUAACGCGUGAAGUAGACCGCCUGGGGAGUACGGUCGCAAGAUUAAAACUCAAAGGAAUUGACGG
This 585-nucleotide ribosomal RNA is filed under the name uncultured bacterium. RNAcentral's name for it is "bacterial SSU rRNA". It matches the Rfam family "Bacterial small subunit ribosomal RNA", at positions 338 to 916 of the family's 1533-position model. The record is from RNAcentral.